GGACGAACGCUGGCGGCGUGCUUAACACAUGCAAGUCGAACGGUGAAGCGCCUUCCUUUUUGGUGGGUGUGGAUGAGUGGCGAACGGGUGAGUAACACGUGAGUAACCUGCCCCCUUCUUCUGGAUAACCGCAUGAAAGUGUGGCUAAUACGGGAUAUUCUGGGUCUGUCGCAUGAUGGGUCUGGGAAAGAUAUUGUUUCGGUGGGGGAUGGGCUCGCGGCCUAUCAGCUUGUUGGUGGGGUGAUGGCCUACCAAGGCGGUGACGGGUAGCCGGCCUGAGGGGGUGGACGGUCACACUGGGACUGAGACACGGCCCAGACUCCUACGGGAGGCAGCAGUGGGGAAUAUUGCACAAUGGGCGCAAGCCUGAUGCAGCGACGCCGCGUGAGGGAUGGAGGCCUUCGGGUUGUGAACCUCUUUCGCCAGUGAAGCAGGCCUGCCUCGUUUGUGGGUGGGUUGACGGUAGCUGGAGAAGAAGCGCCGGCUAACUACGUG
This 495-nucleotide ribosomal RNA is filed under the name uncultured bacterium. Its description in RNAcentral is "partial 16S ribosomal RNA". It matches the Rfam family "Bacterial small subunit ribosomal RNA", at positions 27 to 507 of the family's 1533-position model. The record is from RNAcentral.